AAAUUGAAGAGUUUGAUCAUGGCUCAGAUUGAACGCUGGCGGCAGGCCUAACACAUGCAAGUCGAGCGGCAGCGGGAAAGUAGCUUGCUACUUUUGCCGGCGAGCGGCGGACGGGUGAGUAAUGCCUGGGGAUCUGCCCAGUCGAGGGGGAUAACAGUUGGAAACGACUGCUAAUACCGCAUACGCCCUACGGGGGAAAGGAGGGGACCUUCGGACCUUUCGCGAUUGGAUGAACCCAGGUGGGAUUAGCUAGUUGGUGAGGUAAUGGCUCACCAAGGCGACGAUCCCUAGCUGGUCUGAGAGGAUGAUCAGCCACACUGGAACUGAGACACGGUCCAGACUCCUACGGGAGGCAGCAGUGGGGAAUAUUGCACAAUGGGGGAAACCCUGAUGCAGCCAUGCCGCGUGUGUGAAGAAGGCCUUCGGGUUGUAAAGCACUUUCA
RNAcentral lists this ribosomal RNA (443 nucleotides) under Aeromonas veronii. RNAcentral describes it as "bacterial SSU rRNA". It matches the Rfam family "Bacterial small subunit ribosomal RNA", at positions 1 to 438 of the family's 1533-position model. The record is from RNAcentral. Lineage: Bacteria; Pseudomonadati; Pseudomonadota; Gammaproteobacteria; Aeromonadales; Aeromonadaceae.